UGGUUGGAAAUUCCCGGCGUUCCCGGACCCUGGAGCAGCAGGUCCCGGUGUUCAGCCCUUUCCUAUUUGCGGGUCCCAGUGUUCAGCCCUUUCCUAUUUGCGGGUCCCAGUGUUCAGCCCUUUCCUAUUUGCAGGUCCCGGUGUUCAGCCCUUUCCUAUUUGCAGGUCCCCGGUGUUCAGCCCUUUCCUAUUUGCAGGUCCCCGGUGUUCAGCCCUUUCCUAUUUGCAGGCCCCGGUGUUCAGCCCUUUCCUAUUUGCAGGUCCCGGCGUUCAGCCCUUUCCUAUUUAGGCAAUACAGAGACUCCAGCAUCGGCUUCCUAACACCGGCUGCCAGUUAAGAGUAGACCUCAGAAUCCUGCUCAUCACCUUAAAAGCACCGCAGGGUCUGUCUCUGCUUCGCCGUUCAGAAUUCCUCACGGACACACAUCCCCAGAAGGGCUCUUCGAUCCACCAGCAGUGGCUCCUUCGCUGUUCCCCGCUCUCGACGCGCGACAAAGGGGCGCCCGUGCGUUAGCGGGUCCAGCACCCCGCCCUUUCGGAAGAACGUCCCGUUAACUGUGAGAUCAGCUGAGCCUGCUCUGCAUUUCAAAGAGCUUUUUGAAGACGCGCUUCUGUAAAUUAGCAUUUUUAUCAUCAUUUCUGUGGUCCUCUCUGUUUGCUUUCAUCAUCUGUAUUUCAUUUCAUUUUUAUUAUUAUUUUAUUGUUUAUUUGUUCUUGAAAGGUUUUAAUGUUUCAUGUUAUUUCGUCAGUGUUUUAAAUGUUUCUCUCUCAAGCACUUUGUAACUCUUUUUGGAUACGUGCUGUAGAAAUAAAGGUUUAUUAUUA
Molecule: long non-coding RNA, 825 nt
Organism: Anguilla anguilla (European eel)
Lineage: Eukaryota; Metazoa; Chordata; Actinopteri; Anguilliformes; Anguillidae
Exons: 2
Source: RefSeq, a predicted model, not a curated record